This is a non-coding RNA of Podarcis lilfordi (Lilford's wall lizard), 2467 nucleotides long. The record is from the annotation of a GenBank genome assembly. NCBI's taxonomy places the organism in Eukaryota, Metazoa, Chordata, Lepidosauria, Squamata, Lacertidae.
AAAGGACUGGGAAGACAGUGCGCGUGCGCGGCGACCUGGCGCCUGCGUCGUGAGCGCGGUCGAAGCUUUGCCCGGUUGCUGCUCAGGGAAGGGCAAGGGGAUGAAAGCUUUUUCUAAGGAACUGGGGAGGGAAUCGCAACAUACGGUAGGUUAAGGGACCGCAAUCUAGCGCCCAACCUCGUUCCCGUGCAAUGCAGGAAUUAUUUUUGCCUAACUUGAGGCCGGAAUCCACGACUCUGAGAUUAAUGCUAAACCGGGGGUCUGGGUUAAAGGCGGAUCUACACGGAUCCUCAGGGAUCCUCCACUUUUUAAAAAAAUAACUCCAACAAAUCCAGUGUCAAAUCACAUCUGGAAGGCACGCCUACAGACUGGACAAUAAAAAACGUGGAUCCAACACUUAGCCGCCCUGCAGCACCACAAAAACAUGGAUCCUCAUGAAUUCAUAUGAUUUUUAUAUUGAAACAAAAUAAAAACACCAUGAUAUACACCACGUGUCUGUAGACAGAACCAUGGUUAAAAAACACGGAUCCUCAUAGAUCCACAUGAUUUUUGCACUAGAUCAGCCCAAAGUCACCAUCAGAUCAAAUAUAAUGGCCAUGGUCACAGACUGCACCACAAAAAUCAUGUAUCCACGGCUUCCUGGCAGCUCCAUGGCCCAAAAACGUGAUUUUGAAGCACGGAUCCUCAUGGAUCCUCACGCUUUAUGCAUUGAGCUACCCCAGACUCACCAUCAAUUCACACAUCAUAGCCAGGGGACCAGCCUGCACCACAAAAAUCAUGAGUUGCACUACAAAAAUCACAAAAUGCCCUUAGCAGCACUGUUAAUGUCACCACUGGAGCAUUAUUAUUAGAGCUGAGAGGAGAAUGUACGACUAUAUAUUGUACCAAGAUAUGGUUCAUCUUCAAGAACAGAUCAAAUACAUGCCGAAGUAUUAAAGAGGAGAAAAAAAUAUGAAACUGCUUUCAUACUGUCAACUAAUAUCCAGAUUCAAGAAAGACUGUAUGGCAAAUAGUUAAAUCAGUGAAAAGACAGAAUUUGAGUCCAUCAUAACAGAGGUCUACCUUUUGGGUAAAAUUUAUAAACUAUUACUCAAAUAUGACACUGAGCCCGAACAAGCAAAACAUUAUAUGACAAAAUGGAUGCAAAAAAUUUAAGAACAGUUUACAGUGGAACAAUGAGAACAAUUAUGAAUAAAGGAAUAAAAUUCACUGCAGUUAAGUCCUAAAACAAAAUUGGUACAGUGAAACCUCGGGUUGUGGACGUAAUCCGUGAUGGAGGCAUGUCCGCAACCCGCAGCGUUCACAUCCUGAAGCACUGCGUAUGCGCAGGCGCCGGCACAAUUUGGCGCUUCUGCGCAUGCGCGAGUGGCAAAACCCGGAAGUACUUCUGGGUUUCCAGCAGUCUGCAACCCGAAAACACGUAACCUGAAGUGGCCGUAACAUGAGGUGUGACUGUACAAAAAUAUUCUUUCAAUGGUCUAUAACUUUGAAAGAUAUACAGAAGAUGAAUAAUGAAAUGAAUGGACAUUGCUGGAAAUGUCAUAGCCCUCAAGGAACCUUCUUCCAUUUAUGGUGGACCUGUGAAAAGACCAAAAAGUUUUGGAGGAAAGUUCAUUUUGAAAUGAAAAAACUGUAAAAAAACAAAAUUUGCAUUGGACCCUAAAACUAUGCCGUUGGGAAUAACUCCUUCAGCUACUGUAUUGUGAAAUCGUCAGUGGAACUAUUUAGUUAUAUGACCACAGCAGUCAGAGUGGUGUUGGCUAACAUAUGGAAAUCUGACAUAUGUCCUGAAAUAGAUGCAUGGAAAGAGAAACUAUCAGAAUAUGCAGUAAUGGCAAAACUCGCGAUAGACUCAUGGCAGAACAUAAAAAAACUUGGAAUCUUUAUAAUUUGUAUACAACUUAACAGAACUGUAACAAAAUGAACAUCUGUAUGGAUUGGUAUAAUAGACCUUAGGUUACAAAAAUAUUUCCUGUUUAAAAAUAGAAGCUUUGUGUGUAUAUGAUAAAGAAAUAUAUAGUAGAAAAAAUAUUGUCUGUCUGAUCUAGAAAUGAAAUCAUAUUUUUAAAUAAUUUUUGCUUUAGAUUUUUAUAAUCAUAAAUGGUAUUUCUCCAAUAGCAAACUACCUAGAAUUGGAAAUAAAAUUUAGUACACUAACCUUUGUUUAACUCUUGAUAAAUAUCAGCUUGCUGAGUUAUUUUGUACCAUUGUGAUUCAGUGUUAUAUUUGCCAGCAGGCAGACCCAGCAAUACAGAGUUUUGCUGCUUAGCAAGAGAUUUGGGGAAGCUGCUACCGUUCUUCACUGUGAUAAGAAUACACACUGAGUACUCGUCUCCUGUUUACUGUGCAAGCAAGUCAGCCAGGCCAUAGCAUGAGUACCUGCCAGCCAUCUCAUCCUAGGUCACCUCCUAUGCAGCAUCAGGCAGGUGAAGUCACCAACAUCCAUGAAAAAAUAUACCGAAGGCGA